Molecule: non-coding RNA, 1921 nt
Organism: Physcomitrium patens
Lineage: Eukaryota; Viridiplantae; Streptophyta; Bryopsida; Funariales; Funariaceae
Source: RefSeq, a predicted model, not a curated record
AGUAAUCAUUUUCAGUGCACUUAGGUUGCGGUUUCUGAGGUGGGAUCUCCCACCCCCGCCCCCUAACACAUGUGGUAGACUGUAAGGAAUCCGCACACUGGUCCGUCGUGACUACCAAUCCACCUUAAUCUGCGUCGUAGUACUAAGUUAUCCUCCAAACCGCCUUACAAUCAGCUGACACCCAAAGGCCAGCCAAUCCAGCUGCAAGCCCUAUUAUCACCCCUCUCCCCUCUUAGAAUUGUAGUUGUUGUUGUUUAUUAAUUUAUUGAUAUUUUGCUUGUAACAGGAUUGGGGUAACGUCAAGAGCAAAUUGGCCAUAAUGGCACUUAUGCUUAAACAGUGAACUUUCCCUCUUUUCCUUCUGGGUGUCUACAUGUUGCAUGUAGUACUGUAGUUAGUUGUCUGUUCGCGGAGUCGGAUAGCCAGUAGGUGAAUUUUUCACCAGUACGAGCUACUUGCAACCCCUCCCUAUGAAAGCCUAUCACUUUAUACAUUCCAGCAAUGUAUGCACUACCCACAAUGCGUAACGUUUCGGUUCUUCUUUGGUGUGUUUGCGGAGUGGGAUGCAUGAAGUGUAGGCUUGGAACCCUGCUGCAUGAUAUCCCCUGACAGGACUAGCUGAUUGACCAUGCGCAGGACGUCACAGUUUCAACUUUGAACCUCAUGCCUUGAAAGCGACGCCCCUGGGAUGUCGAAGGCGAUUCCUAACCAAUUUUUCCAACGUCAUAUUGUUUCGUCUCUGAUUCUCAAUUUUGCAAAACUUGCAACUAAAUCCCGCAAGGGUCGUUGCAAUGUUGAUGGCGAAUGCUUCUGUAGUUCCUCUAUUGCAGCAGAAUCACUAAGUACAUGGUAUAACGGUGUCAUGGUUCAAGAGACCAAGAACUUGGAGUUGUUUCAACUAUAUCGGUUACCAAACCAGGAUGAGGGGAGAGUUCACUUCCACGAUACACAUUACAUUUGCUAAUAUUGCAAGUCAAGUUUAGGAGAGGAAAUUCACAUUAUGCUGAGAUUGAAAACGAUCAUCGCAUGCUUCUAUCACCUCUACAAAACAAUGAAAACACCCUACUAAAACUGCCAACAUGCGCAUAAGCAGCUGACAUUACUGGCUAAAAUGUAUCAUUAUUGCAGUUUCUGUAUUCUUGCGCUAUGAUCACGGAAGAAUGUGCCCUCAGUUAAAACUGAUCAAUUUCAGUGGAAAAUAGUGAUGCCACUACGGCGACCAGUAAAUUCAAAGUUAUAACCCACAAAAAUGCUUCUAUCGCUUGCAGUUCACUCUUGCCCUCCUACAGUUGCAGGUCGAGGAAUCUUCACAUAAUACGGCACGCACGAAAUCACCGCCAAAUAUUUCGACGGGGGGAAAUGCUAAUAGAUCACUUGUGGUCACAUUAUUGCAUCUCUCAUUGGAAGGAAGAAUUUCAGCCCGCUAACACCAUGACUGGCGCCAUCUGAGCUUUAUUGACCAGGAGAGGGAGAGUCAGGAAGGGGAUCUGGGUCACAUGCAGCAUCGGUGAGUUGCAACUUCAGAAAGUUCAGAAAUAGAAGUCGUCGAACCUCAAAUCAUUCAGUAAUUCUUUCUUAAUCUUCUCGGAACACUUCCACUCUUGACCAUGGCUCGAUUCCUGGGGGUUUUUCAUUGCUGGAAAUGGUUACAUGAACCAUAGCAACCAAAGUUGUGAGCCUUGCAAAAUAAGGUAGAUUAGAAAAAUAAAUAAUAAAAAAAUUUUAAGGAGGAAGUUAAGAGUGGAUUCUAGUAAAAAUUACUUAGAAAAACUAGAUGUUGAUACCUAGAGAAGGCCGGUUAUGAACUAGGGUCGAAAUCAGACCCAAAGGCACAAAACCGAGUCUUGACCAUUACUUCGGAAAUCUUUGGUGAAUCGGAAAGUGGGGUUUGAUAAAAGAUUAAACAAGGUUUUUAUGAGCA